This 465-nucleotide ribosomal RNA is filed under the name Vreelandella stevensii. RNAcentral's name for it is "partial 16S ribosomal RNA". It matches the Rfam family "Bacterial small subunit ribosomal RNA", at positions 338 to 795 of the family's 1533-position model. The record is from RNAcentral. Lineage: Bacteria; Pseudomonadati; Pseudomonadota; Gammaproteobacteria; Oceanospirillales; Halomonadaceae.
CCUACGGGUGGCAGCAGUGGGGAAUAUUGGACAAUGGGGGCAACCCUGAUCCAGCCAUGCCGCGUGUGUGAAGAAGGCCCUCGGGUUGUAAAGCACUUUCAGUGAGGAAGAACGCCUGGUGGUUAAUACCCAUCAGGAAAGACAUCACUCACAGAAGAAGCACCGGCUAACUCCGUGCCAGCAGCCGCGGUAAUACGGAGGGUGCGAGCGUUAAUCGGAAUUACUGGGCGUAAAGCGCGCGUAGGUGGCUUGAUAAGCCGGUUGGGAAAGCCCCGGGCUCAACCUGGGAACGGCAUCCGGAACUGUCAAGCUAGAGUGCAGGAGAGGAAGGUAGAAUUCCCGGUGUAGCGGUGAAAUGCGUAGAGAUCGGGAGGAAUACCAGUGGCGAAGGCGGCCUUCUGGACUGACACUGACACUGAGGUGCGAAAGCGUGGGUAGCAAACAGGAUUAGAUACCCCUGUAGUC